GGAAGGGUGGCCGAGUUGGUUAUGGCGCCAGGUUAAGGUCAGCUUAACAUCUGUUUCCUGGUGGGGCCGCGCGAGUUCGAGUCUCGUCCCUUUCA
RNAcentral lists this transfer RNA (95 nucleotides) under Colletotrichum fructicola Nara gc5. RNAcentral describes it as "tRNA-Leu for anticodon AAG". It matches the Rfam family "tRNA". Rfam says of the family: Transfer RNA (tRNA) molecules are approximately 80 nucleotides in length. Their secondary structure includes four short double-helical elements and three loops (D, anti-codon, and T loops). Lineage: Eukaryota; Fungi; Ascomycota; Sordariomycetes; Glomerellales; Glomerellaceae. The record is from RNAcentral.